This 377-nucleotide ribosomal RNA is filed under the name uncultured bacterium. RNAcentral describes it as "bacterial SSU rRNA". It matches the Rfam family "Bacterial small subunit ribosomal RNA", at positions 29 to 435 of the family's 1533-position model. The record is from RNAcentral.
AACGAACGCUGGCGGCAGGCCUAACACAUGCAAGUCGAACGCCCCGCAAGGGGAGUGGCAGACGGGUGAGUAACGCGUGGGAACGUACCCUUCGGUUCGGAAUAACCCGGGGAAACUCGGGCUAAUGCCGGAUACGUCCGCAAGGAGAAAGAUUUAUCGCCGAAGGAUCGGCCCGCGUCGGAUUAGCUAGUUGGUGGGGUAAUGGCCCACCAAGGCGACGAUCCGUAGCUGGUCUGAGAGGAUGAUCAGCCACACUGGGACUGAGACACGGCCCAGACUCCUACGGGAGGCAGCAGUCGGGAAUUUUGGGCAAUGGGCGAAAGCCUGACCCAGCAACGCCGCGUGAAGGAUGAAAUCCCUCGGGAUGUAAACUUCGC